UUGGGGGUGGGGGGCAGGGGGCAAGUGAAACUCGCUGCUGCUGCUGCCGCUGCUGCCUCUCAGCCGCAGGAAGCCCUGGGAGUUAAUAUUGCAGUCAUCAUAGGCAGAGCUUGCUGCUUUUGCAUGACUCCCAUGUCAAGACAAGAUGAACUGUGCCCUGAACAUGCUUGCUCCUUGAAGUAUAAAGCAGAUCUGGAAAACAGCUUCAUCUGAGUCAGGCUCAAACUUGAAAUUGAGUGCUGUAGCUAAACCAAAAGCAUUUUUGAGGGGACUACAGCACACAGCAUCUAGUAGGAGACUGAAGGGUCACUGGAGAGCUACGAGGUGGAAAAGAAGCUCUCUAGAGAAGACGAGAGAGUUGGCUAUGCUCAAAUGGAAUUUCACUCCUGGAAUUUCUCAAGAAGAUUUAUAUUUUUAAUAAAUAACUGGGUUUAUUUUAAUAAAUAAACAUGGCAGCAUCAGCUAUAAAGUGAAGGAUGGGAAUAUUCAGCAGGAAGAGAUGUUGGCCUUUACAAAUAAAAUGAAAGUAGUUUGUAAUCAUGCAAAAUGUCCUUAAAGAUGAAUCGGAAUCCUGCUUGAAGCCAGAAGUUCAUUACACAGAAAAGCAAAAGGGGGAAAUAAAGUACCUCCUUCUGUUACUUACCACAUUCUGACCAUGAGAUGCUAUGUUACAGGCUUGCCAAGUAGGCAAAUGCAAUUCUAAGUUAUAUCAAAUGAGCUGUUUCCAGUAGAGAAAGGAAAACAGGAAUGCUGUGCUCUGCCAUGCACUGAGACUUCCUGUGGAAUUCUAUGAACAAAACCUGCAGAAAUGGAGGCUAUCACAAGUGACUAAAAUGAGGUCUAAAGACCCGAGAAAAGAGCAUGAGACCUUGCAGAAGGGAUUAAAGCAACAUCUGAAGGCUUUGCUGAAAGGCUUGGGAGAUGGCCUGAGACUGGAGGUAAAAUUUUUUAGGGGCAGCAGAAGCUGGAACAAGUUCAAAAUAAAUGAAUAAGGAACCAGUAACCAGAUGGCUGAGAACCAGCAGCUUUUCCGGGGACAGGGAAGGCCAAAGAAUCUUUGGCAAGCUUGGAGGUUACUAACUGAGCAGGACAGCAGUGAGGAUUAAAAAAGCUAAAAAUACCAACAGCACAAGGAAAUCAGAAAGUUGCAAAAGUCAAAAACCUGAUGUGGAAUGAAGGCUGCCAGAGGACUUCUGCUGCCUAGCCUCAUAACACUGUUUCAACUGCAGAAACUGGGAGGGAAGAUGCUGAACAAAUUGUACCAAUACACAAGAAACUGGCUGAAAAAGUUGCAGUGAAUGAUCUGAGAAGGCAUGACCGGAACCUUUAUGUCAGAGAAGAUGGACAGCAAUAGUGUUUCCCAGGAACCAAACAGGUCUGAAACAUUACCUGCAUGGAGAAAAAAA
Empidonax traillii (willow flycatcher) is the source of this 1406-nucleotide long non-coding RNA. RefSeq lists it as uncharacterized. The transcript is spliced from 2 exons. Lineage: Eukaryota; Metazoa; Chordata; Aves; Passeriformes; Tyrannidae. The record is from RefSeq and is a predicted model, not a curated record.